AUGUUACCUAAAAAACAUCUAUCUGGCUGUGAGAAAAGAAACAACAAGAAAAGAGUAGACAAGUUGAUUAAAUCUCAGGAAGGCGCUAUGGAUAUGUUUGUCUUGAGGACUGGUGCUGCUACAAAUUCAGAGCAAUUAUAUAUCACAAAUGGUGAAGAAAAACCUGAUGAUACUAAGAAUGCCGUUGAGGAAAAUCAUGUCGAGAAAAAUAAUGCUGCGGAAAAUGAUGCCGAUCAGCACACGGAAAAUUUUAGUGACCAUGAGAAUCUUGGAAAUGCAGAUGAGCAGGGUUCUUCUUUUGAUAUAUAUGAUCCUAGAACUUGGAAUAUUCUUGACAAUAAAUCAAGAGAUAUUCUCAUUGAAAAAGGACCUAUAAGGGAAUACAAUCUUGUGUUUCCCGAAGAUGAAAUUAGUGGCAGGCAUUUUUCAUAUGAUUACUACACAAGAAAGUUAAGGAAUGGCGAGUUCAGUGAUCGGAGGUGGUUAGUGUACUCUAAACACGUGAAUAAAGUCUACUGUUUUUGUUGCAAAUUGUUUAAAUCUGGAAAAAGCAAAAGUCUGCUAGCAUCCGAGGGAUUGAAGGAUUGGAGACAUCUUAGUGAGAAGCUCAAAUUGCAUGAGAAUAGUGUUGAGCAUAUCACUAACAUGAAUACUUGGAAUGAGGUAAGGCUGAGGCUAAGUAAGAAGGAAACAAUUGAUAAAGACAUGCAACAAGAGAUUGCAAGGGAGAAGGAGCGAUGGAGACUUGUUUUAAUUAGAAUUGUUGCUGCUGUGAAAUUUCUUGCUAAACAUAGUCUGGCUUUUCGAGGAUCGAAUGAGAAAUUAUAUCAAGAUAACAACGGAAUUUUUUUGGGAGUAAUUGAAAUGAUGGCAGAAUUUGAUCCUGUAAUGCAAGAGCAUCUUCGGCGCAUUAAGAAUAGUGAAAUCCAUCAUCAUUAUCUUGGCCAUAAUAUUCAGAAUGAGUUAAUUUCCCUUCUUGGUCGCACUGUUAAAUAUUCUCUGUUGAGGAUAAUUAAGGAUGCAGGGUAUUUCUCUGUCAUCUUGGACUGUACACCUGACGUGAGCCAUCAAGAACAAAUGACUCUAAUUGUGAGGUGCGUAAACAUGUCAAGUACUACUACAAAAAUAGAGGAGUUUUUUCUGGAGUUCUUGAAGGUGGAUGAUACAUCAGGACUUGGACUUUAUAAUGUGUUAAUAGAUUCACUUAAAUCUGUUGGUUUGGAUGUUAAAGAUGUUCGUGGACAAGGGUAUGACAAUGGUUCGAACAUGAAGGGAAAACACCAAGGGGUACAGAGCAGACUACUUGAAACUAAUCCAAGAGCAUUAUUCAUGCCAUGCGCUUGUCAUAGCCUGAACCUUACUCUUAGUGAUAUGGCAAAAUCUUGCGGUAAAGCUGUUACCUUCUUUGGUGUUGUGCAAAGAAUUUAUAUAUUGUUUUCAAGCUCUACUAAAAGAUGGCAGCUAUUGCUUGAUCAUGUUCCAAAAAUGACAGUUAAGUCUUUGUGUAACACUCGAUGGGAGAGUCGAAUAAAGAGUGUUCAGGCUAUCAGAUAUCAAGCACCCGAGUUAAGAAAAGCAUUACUGGAAUUGAAGAGAACUUCUACCGAUGACGCCAAGACUAAGAGUGACGCAAAAUCUUUGGCUAGCGCACUUGAGAAAUUUGAAUUUUUACUUGGCAUGGUCAUUUGGCAUGACAUUUUGUUCACUGUAAACAUGGUGAGUAAGAAGUUGCAGUCUAAGUUUGUGUGCAUUGAUGUUACUCUUAAACAGAUUGAAGAUGCCAUCUCAUAUUUUAAGAAGUACAGAAAUGACGGCUUUGCAACUAGUCUGGAUAUUGCGAGAUCUAUUGCAAUUGACAUGGGUGUACAACCUUUGUUUCCUGUCAAGAGACGUAUUACUAGAAAAAGACAGUUUGAUGAAAUUAGUGGCAAUGACGAAAAUAACCAGAAUGAAGAAACACAAGCAAUUAAAUACUUUUUGCUGAUGAUUGAUGUUGCAAUUGCUUCCCUAACUACUAGAUUUGAGGAACUGAAGACAUUUGGGAGCAUAUUUGGUUUCUUGUUCAACUCGAAAGAGUUGAAGUCCUUGGGUGAUAAUGAUCUAAGAAGAUGUUGCACUAAUUUUGUCAACAAAUUCACUCAUGGUAAGUCAGCAGAUGUCGAUCUAGAUGAUUUCGUUUCUGAACUAAAAGUACUGCAGAUGACAUUGCCAAACACAUUCAUGUCAGCGGAUCAGAUAUUUGAGUUUGUUAGAGAUGCGGAUUGUUAUCUAAAUGUCUCAAUUGCUUAUCGUAUCCUUUUGACCGUACCUGUGACUGUUGCAUCAGCUGAAAGGAGUUUCUCAAAAUUGAAACUAUUGAAAAAUUAUUUGAGGUCAACGAUGUCUCAAGAAAGAUUGAAUGGAUUGGCCAUGUGCUGCAUUGAGAAGAAUAUGCUGGAUAGUAUUGAUCUUGACACUCUCAUUGAUGAUUUUGCGUCAAAAAAUGCACAGAAGUCUCGUUUCACAUGA
This 2508-nucleotide ribosomal RNA is filed under the name Triticum aestivum (bread wheat). Its description in RNAcentral is "partial small subunit ribosomal RNA". The record is from RNAcentral. Lineage: Eukaryota; Viridiplantae; Streptophyta; Magnoliopsida; Poales; Poaceae.